Non-coding RNA from Ictidomys tridecemlineatus (thirteen-lined ground squirrel), 71 nucleotides. The record is from Rfam. Lineage: Eukaryota; Metazoa; Chordata; Mammalia; Rodentia; Sciuridae.
GGGGGUGUAGCUCAGUGGUAGAGCACUUGCCUAGGAUACACAAGGCCUGGGUGCCAUUCCCAGCACCACGG